This 389-nucleotide ribosomal RNA is filed under the name Platocoelotes kailiensis. RNAcentral's name for it is "partial 16S ribosomal RNA". The record is from RNAcentral. Lineage: Eukaryota; Metazoa; Arthropoda; Arachnida; Araneae; Agelenidae.
CUCAAUGAAUUUUAUAUAGCCGCAAUAUUUGUGCUAAGGUAGCAUAAUCAUUUGUUUUUUAAUUAAAAACUAGAACGAAAGAUUUAACAUUUUCAUUUCUUUCUUACAUAUAAAAAUUAAAUUUAUUUUAAAUAUUAAAAAAUAUUUAUAUACUAAAAAGACGAUAAGACCCUAUUGAACUUUACUAAAGUUUAACUGGGGUAGUUAAUUAAAUAUAAUUUUAAUUUAAAUUCUCAAAAUACCUAAUAAAAUUAAAAUAAUCAAGUUACCAUAGGGAUAACAGCGUAAUAAAUUUCACAAGAUCUUAUUUAAAAAUUUGUUUACGACCUCGAUGUUGAAUUAAUAAUCUAUUAAAUGCAAUAAUUUAAUAAAGAAAGUCUGUUCGACUU